RNAcentral lists this ribosomal RNA (900 nucleotides) under uncultured archaeon. Its description in RNAcentral is "bacterial SSU rRNA". It matches the Rfam family "Archaeal small subunit ribosomal RNA", at positions 16 to 922 of the family's 1478-position model. The record is from RNAcentral.
GCCAGACCUGACUGCUAUCGGAUUGAUACUAAGCCAUGCGAGUCUUUGCAGUAAUGCAAGGCAUACGGCUCAGUAACACGUAGUCAACUUACCCUAUGGACGAGGAUAAUCUCGGGAAACUGAGCAUAAUACUCGAUAGAUCAUAAUGCCUGGAAUGGUUUAUGGUUGAAAUGAUUCGUCGCCAUAGGAUGGGACUGCGGCCUAUCAGCUUGUUGGUGAGGUAAUGGCCCACCAAGGCGAUUACAGGUACGGGCUCUGAGAGGAGAAGCCCGGAGAUGGGUACUGAGACAAGGACCCAGGCCCUAUGGGGCGCAGCAGGCGAGAAAACUUUGCAAUGUGCGAAAGCACGACAAGGUUAAUCCGAGUGAUUUCUGCUAAAGAAAUCUUUUGCAAGUCAUAAAACCACUAGUGAAUAAGGGGUGGGCAAGUUCUGGUGUCAGCCGCCGCGGUAAAACCAGCACCUCAAGUGGUCAGGAGGAUUAUUGGGCCUAAAGCAUCCGUAGCCGGCUCUGUAAGUUUUCGGUUAAAUCCAUGUGCUCAACGCAUGGGCUGCCGAAAAUACUGCAUAGCUAGGGAGUGGGAGAGGUAGACGGUACUCGGUAGGAAGGGGUAAAAUCCUUUGAUCUAUCGAUGACCACCUGUGGCGAAGGCGGUCUACCAGAACACGUUCGACGGUGAGGGAUGAAAGCUGGGGGAGCAAACCGGAUUAGAUACCCGGGUAGUCCCAGCUGUAAACGAUGCAGACUCGAUGAUGCAUUGGCAUAUAGCCAGUGCAGUGUCGCAGGGAAGCCGUUAAGUCUGCCGCCUGGGAAGUACGUACGCAAGUAUGAAACUUAAAGGAAUUGGCGGGGGAGCACCACAAGGGGUGAAGCCUGCGGUUCAAUUGGAUUCAACGCCGGG